RNAcentral lists this small RNA (101 nucleotides) under Peptoniphilus indolicus ATCC 29427. RNAcentral's name for it is "Clostridioides difficile sRNA included into helicase gene". It matches the Rfam family "Clostridioides difficile sRNA included into helicase gene". From Rfam's summary of the family: This element was identified by RNA deep sequencing of Clostridioides difficile 630 where it is located within gene CD0749 (putative DNA helicase, UvrD/REP type) in the same direction as the gene. A strong transcription start site for this RNA was experimentally confirmed, in the 3' region of gene CD0749. The 3' end of the sRNA has not been confirmed and its length was arbitrarily set to 100nt. The record is from Rfam by way of RNAcentral. Lineage: Bacteria; Bacillati; Bacillota; Tissierellia; Tissierellales; Peptoniphilaceae.
AGGUCUAUCGAAGAAGAUGAGGAUGUUGAAGAAGAGAGAAGACUUUGCUAUGUUGCUGUGACAAGAGCGGAAGAGGAGCUUUAUAUAAGUUCAGCUGAAAC